Molecule: transfer RNA, 86 nt
Filed under: Clostridia bacterium
Lineage: Bacteria; Bacillati; Bacillota; Clostridia
Also listed under: 1 other name
Description: tRNA-Tyr
Rfam family: tRNA
About the family: Transfer RNA (tRNA) molecules are approximately 80 nucleotides in length. Their secondary structure includes four short double-helical elements and three loops (D, anti-codon, and T loops). Further hydrogen bonds mediate the characteristic L-shaped molecular structure. tRNAs have two regions of fundamental functional importance: the anti-codon, which is responsible for specific mRNA codon recognition, and the 3' end, to which the tRNAs corresponding amino acid is attached (by aminoacyl-tRNA synthetases). tRNAs cope with the degeneracy of the genetic code in two manners: having more than one tRNA (with a specific anti-codon) for a particular amino acid; and 'wobble' base-pairing, i.e. permitting non-standard base-pairing at the 3rd anti-codon position.
Source: RNAcentral
GGAGGAAUUCCCGAGCUGGCCAAAGGGGGCAGACUGUAAAUCUGCUGGCAACGCCUUCGCAGGUUCGAAUCCUGCUUCCUCCACCA